Mycena leptocephala is the source of this 91-nucleotide non-coding RNA. Lineage: Eukaryota; Fungi; Basidiomycota; Agaricomycetes; Agaricales; Mycenaceae. The record is from the annotation of a GenBank genome assembly.
GGCUCGGUGGCAGAGUGGUAAUGCAUCCGUUUACGAUACUAUUGAUUAUUCUCCGUUGCGGGGGUCGCCUGUUCGACCCAGGCCUGAGCCA